RNAcentral lists this ribosomal RNA (904 nucleotides) under Prevotella melaninogenica. RNAcentral describes it as "bacterial SSU rRNA". It matches the Rfam family "Bacterial small subunit ribosomal RNA". Lineage: Bacteria; Pseudomonadati; Bacteroidota; Bacteroidia; Bacteroidales; Prevotellaceae. The record is from RNAcentral.
AUUGAACGCUGGCGGCAGGCCUAACACAUGCAAGUCGAGCGGCAGCGGAAAGUAGCUUGCUACUUUGCCGGCGAGCGGCGGACGGGUGAGUAAUGUCUGGGAAACUGCCUGAUGGAGGGGGAUAACUACUGGAAACGGUAGCUAAUACCGCAUGACCUCGAAAGAGCAAAGUGGGGGAUCUUCGGACCUCACGCCAUCGGAUGUGCCCAGAUGGGAUUAGCUAGUAGGUGAGGUAAUGGCUCACCUAGGCGACGAUCCCUAGCUGGUCUGAGAGGAUGACCAGCCACACUGGAACUGAGACACGGUCCAGACUCCUACGGGAGGCAGCAGUGGGGAAUAUUGCACAAUGGGCGCAAGCCUGAUGCAGCCAUGCCGCGUGUGUGAAGAAGGCCUUAGGGUUGUAAAGCACUUUCAGCGAGGAGGAAGGCAUCACACUUAAUACGUGUGGUGAUUGACGUUACUCGCAGAAGAAGCACCGGCUAACUCCGUGCCAGCAGCCGCGGUAAUACGGAGGGUGCAAGCGUUAAUCGGAAUUACUGGGCGUAAAGCGCACGCAGGCGGUUUGUUAAGUCAGAUGUGAAAUCCCCGCGCUUAACGUGGGAACUGCAUUUGAAACUGGCAAGCUAGAGUCUUGUAGAGGGGGGUAGAAUUCCAGGUGUAGCGGUGAAAUGCGUAGAGAUCUGGAGGAAUACCGGUGGCGAAGGCGGCCCCCUGGACAAAAACUGACUCUCUAGGUCAAAGCGGUGGGGACAAAACAGAUUAAUACCCGCUGGAACUCCAAGGAAAAUUCCACAUUCGCUGCACCCCCGGAGAUACUAUAUAUCUAAAGCGGCCCCACGGGGGGGCUACUAAUUCUCCCUAUAAAGAGUCUUAUACCCCCCCUCAUGGCCGUCUAUAACAAAGU